Molecule: long non-coding RNA, 1152 nt
Filed under: Equus asinus (donkey)
Lineage: Eukaryota; Metazoa; Chordata; Mammalia; Perissodactyla; Equidae
Description: lncRNA (ENSEASG00005038397.1)
Source: RNAcentral
AUCUGGAAACCCUGCGGUUCAUCCUGUACCCCCUGAGCCACAGGCUGGGCUGUUCAGGUGAAAUGGUUUCACCUAACUUGUCAGGGCUGUGAUUGAUGUUGACUUUGCCCCCUGAUGGUUUCAAGCAUUGUGCUAGAGGCCAGUUCACAAACAAGUCCAGUCCCCACCUGGGCCAGUGUCUUCUCCCUCCAGACCCAUCCCCGGAGAGGCCAGGUGAGAGAACGGGGCUGGUCAGGGCAGAUCCAGCUCCACAUGACAGAAGGAAUAUAGUUGUAAAAAAAUCCCAGCCAGCUGUAGGAUGCCUGCUGCCUUAGGGGGAACACGUGGUAUCCUUCCCAUGAGGGAGAGGAAGUAAAUGUGUGCCUGUAUCCCUGUGGGGCAGCAGAGGGAGGAGAGCACAGGAGACGUGUGCUGCUAUGAGAAUGGGCCGCGGCGGACGAGUGAAGGGCUUCUGGGCUGUGAUGCUGACACUCCUCCAUCACGCAGUACGGCCUGUGUUCCCUUCCCCUGAAACUGGACAGACACUGGUAACUGCCUCCACCAAUCAAGUGUGGCAAAGUGACUUCUGAGGCCAGGUCCUGAAGGGUGAUCCAGCUUCUUCAUGGUUUGCUCUCUUGGGACACGCACCUAUGGUGCCCUGCGCAUCCAAGUAAGAGAUUUUAGUACCCUGAAGUCACUGUGCUGGAGAGACCACACAGAGGCAGAGGGAGAAGCCCCAGGAGACUGAGCUGCUGCAGCAGUCCUAGCCCAGUGUCCGGGGGGAGGAGCGAAUCUUGAGACACCUCCAGCCCCCACAUUCAUGUCACUGCUGCUGACACCGCAAGGAGCAUAAUGAGUUGUCCCCUGAGCCCUGCCAACAUGGCAGCUUCACCUGCAAAAGUGUUGCUGUUUUAAGCCGUGACAUUUUGGGGUGUUUGUUAUGCAGCCAUAACUGACUGAUAUAGGGUGGGAGGAAGAUAUUACCACCUAUGAAACAGCCAUUUUGCCAGAUAUUUUGCGAGCAUGAACUCAUACAACUCUUGCAACAGGAACGUAGGCACCACUGCUGGCCCUGCUUCCGAGGUACAGACGCUGGCAGACAUGAGAACUAAGUGACGUGGCCAAGGACACACACCUGCAGGUGACAGGGUUGGGACUGGAACCCAGGCUGCC